UGCGUAGGCGGGUUGGCAAGUCGGGUGUGAAAUUCCAUAGCUUAACUAUGGACCUGCAUUCGAAACUGUUGAUCUUGAGUACUGGAGAGGUGAGUGGAAUUCUCGGUGUAGCGGUGAAAUGCGUAGAUAUCGAGAGGAACACCGUUGGCGAAGGCGGCUCACUGGACAGAUACUGACGCUGAGGCACGAAGGUCGGGGGAGCAAACAGGAUUAGAUACCCUGGUAGUCCCGACGGUAAACGAUGGGCACUAGGUGUCGGAGGUAUCGACCCCUCCGGUGCCGCAGUUAACACAUUAAGUGCCCCGCCUGGGGAGUACGACCGCAAGGUUGAA
Molecule: ribosomal RNA, 332 nt
Filed under: uncultured Neomoorella sp.
Lineage: Bacteria; Bacillati; Bacillota; Clostridia; Neomoorellales; Neomoorellaceae
Description: bacterial SSU rRNA
Rfam family: Bacterial small subunit ribosomal RNA
Source: RNAcentral